GCCCAGGUGGCGGAAUUGGUAGACGCGCUGGUCUCAAACACCAGUGAGGAAACUCGUGCCGGUUCGAUCCCGGCCCUGGGUA
Molecule: transfer RNA, 82 nt
Filed under: Flavobacteriaceae bacterium
Lineage: Bacteria; Pseudomonadati; Bacteroidota; Flavobacteriia; Flavobacteriales; Flavobacteriaceae
Also listed under: 1 other name
Description: tRNA-Leu
Rfam family: tRNA
About the family: Transfer RNA (tRNA) molecules are approximately 80 nucleotides in length.
Source: RNAcentral